Molecule: long non-coding RNA, 812 nt
Organism: Helianthus annuus (common sunflower)
Lineage: Eukaryota; Viridiplantae; Streptophyta; Magnoliopsida; Asterales; Asteraceae
Exons: 5
Source: RefSeq, a predicted model, not a curated record
UAAAUGAGGAUUUUAAGAUUUUGAUAAUAUAAGAUAUUGAGGAUUGAUAUGUGGACACCGGCAUAACAGAAGAAAAGUGGAGAUAAUUAUAUCUGGAGCUUCUAACCAUAAGAUUUAUCAUUACUAUUUAGGGAGUGGGAGCUACAUGGCCUAUGAGAAGCACAUGGAAUACAUGGAGAGAAUUACAUCCAACUAUCAGGAUGGCGAUACUAAAAGAUGUUUGGUCUGUUUGUGUAAGGUAACCCAAAUCUAUUGCUCAUGUUGAGUUGAGUUCGAGAUCUUUUUAAGUUGUGGUCAUGUUGAGACGAAUGAUGGAUGUAGUGGGUGACAAAUAAAAAGCAUAAAAGAUAGACCGAUUUCAGGGGCGUUGACCGAAGAUGAGUUGAAACAGUUUUCGGGUUUGUCUUGUACACCACCAAGGAAGUCACCUGGCAAAAGCCCUAAUGAUAUGCCAAUAAAUGGUAGUGUUGGUAGCUACUGGAGCCACACGAGCUCAGCACAAUUUUCGAGCCCAUGUUCAUCGUAUAAAGGCAUACCGAAUGCCACCAGCAAGUACAGAGAGGAGGCAAGACGGGCUCGUCAGGUAACGGGUUAGAAUUGGCUUGGAUUGAAAUUAGUCAUUUUUGUAGAGUUCGAAACGGGUUGGUUCGGGCUGGGUUGCUCUGUAGCCUGCUUGUUUGUCCUUUUCUACAAAAAAGUUCUAUGUAUAUACUUGUAACUAUGAUUUGAUUACAAAAACAACUUUAUUACAGUAAUAGUCAAAACUUUUUGGACAUAACAAUUUAGAAAGUUCGGGUCAAACCACAUCUGGG